Molecule: ribosomal RNA, 290 nt
Filed under: Clostridioides difficile
Lineage: Bacteria; Bacillati; Bacillota; Clostridia; Peptostreptococcales; Peptostreptococcaceae
Description: partial 23S ribosomal RNA
Rfam family: Bacterial large subunit ribosomal RNA
Source: RNAcentral
CAUGUACAGGAUAGGUGGGAGGCUUUGAAACCAGGACGCCAGUUUUGGCGGAGCCAUCCUUGGGAUACCACCCUUGUAGUACUGGGACUCUAACCAUAGGCCAUGAAUCUGGUCUUGGGACACUGUCCGGUGGGCAGUUUGACUGGGGCGGUCGCCUCCCAACAGGUAACGGAGGCGCUCAAAGGUUCUCUCAGUACGGUCGGAAAUCGUACGUAGAGUGUAAAGGCAAAAGAGAGCUUGAUUGCAAGACAUACAGGUCGAGCAAGGAUGAAAAUCGGACUUAGUGAUCC